Molecule: ribosomal RNA, 465 nt
Filed under: uncultured bacterium
Lineage: Bacteria
Description: bacterial SSU rRNA
Rfam family: Bacterial small subunit ribosomal RNA
Source: RNAcentral
AGGGGCAGCAUUAUCGAAGCUUGCUUGAUAGAUGGCGACCGGCGCACGGGUGAGUAACGCGUAUCCAACCUUCCCAUCACUCAGGGAUAGCCCGCCGAAAGGCGAAUUAAUACCUGAUGGUCUCCUUCGCGGACAUCUAACGAGGAGUAAAGAUUUAUUGGUGAUGGAUGGGGGAUGCGUCUGAUUAGGUAGUAGGCGGGGUAACGGCCCACCUAGCCGACGAUCAGUAGGGGUUCUGAGAGGAAGGUCCCCCCACAUUGGAACUGAGACACGGUCCAAACUCCUACAGGAGGCAGCAGUGAGGAAUAUUGGUCAAUGGACGGAAGUCUGAACCAGCCAAGUAGCGUGCAGGAUGACGGCCCUAUGGGUUGUAAACUGCUUUUGUGCGGGAAUAAAGUUUGGGACGUGUCCCAUUUUGCAUGUACCGCACGAAUAAGGACCGGCUAAUUCCGUGCCAGCAGCCGC